Petromyzon marinus (sea lamprey) is the source of this 3095-nucleotide long non-coding RNA. RefSeq lists it as uncharacterized. The record is from RefSeq and is a predicted model, not a curated record. NCBI's taxonomy places the organism in Eukaryota, Metazoa, Chordata, Hyperoartia, Petromyzontiformes, Petromyzontidae.
CGGGGGUGGUGUAACUGUGCAAGGCGAGCCAAGCAAACCUCCUCCCUACCCCCCAGCAGCAGCAGGUCACGGGAGUUUGGGGCCGACAAGACAACCUUGGGCCACGGAACACCGACGGGUUAACGACGGAGCGACACAAACUUUAACUACGACAACAACAACAAGAGUUUGUGCAUGAAGCAAGCACAGUACAAUUGCUCUGACGAAACAUCAGGCUGGCAAGCAGACUCUUGGUCGCCAUGCUUUCUCUGUGAAGACAAUCUUGGGUGCUCGUCAAGGGAAACUCACAAUUCAAAGAACAGAUGGCGUCUCUACCAGAGACCGACCGACCAAGAAACAAAACUGCCACUCAUUCGGACGCUGCCCUCCUGUGCCCUUGUCUUCAUCCUACACAUGUAGCGUGAUAUAACAUCUUUCACUUUCUCGCCGGUGGACGGUUUUAGUGUUUUCUUUGUUUUGCUCCGUUACAUUUUUUUUAAACGUACAUUUAUAAGAAAGAAAAAAAAAGCUUGAAAAACGUGGCUUCCUAAAGACCAUUAUCAUUUUAGGCAAUUCAGAAUUAAAAUGCAUUUUGAAUGUGCUGGAGGCACCGGAUUGCUGCCUCUACCUCAAUAUGCCAAUGAAGAGGCGGUGUUCCCGUAGGGACGCUCCCUGGCGCAGGUUCAUUUCGCGGACUUGGCACAGAUUCGGCAAUUAGCGAACGCGCCAGAAUUCUUUCGCGAGUCUUUCCAUAUCGGAUGCUCGUCACGAUUGGCGUAUUACAGAGAUUGCCUUGAACCGUCCAAAAUGUAAAUUGUAUUAACGGACGCCUACAGGACACAGCGUGUGUCCGCGCUAGAGUGCGCUUUCUCAAAAUAAAGGGAAUUAACGCAAUUGCGAUUAAAUUCGUCCUGGUUAAUGAUACAUAGAGGCAAAUCUUCAUCUAAAAUGCAAAUAAAGCGAGCCUCAUGUCUCCCCGCCAUCCCAGCAUGAUUUAUGACUUGAAAAUACCAAGGAACUAAUUAGCGGAGUAAUUAAUUCACACUCAUUUGCAUUUUUGCAUGCGUAAUUAGAACACGGGACUAAUCAUUCUGAAAUGGAAAGUUUCAGUCAUUACGUGUAAUGUUCACUGGGGUGGAAAGAUGCGAUUGACGUGAUUUUUUUUAACAAACAUUAACAUAUACAGUAUUACCGCUAACUUUUUCGUGGCCGUUUUAAUUGCUCAGAAACAUAUUCUACACAGAAAAGGAAUAUUUCAUAGUGGACAUUAAGUAUUAUUUUUGUUUCAAAGAAAGUAUUGCCCAGGGAAUUAAAAAUGCCCCCAAAUAACACAGACUCAUAAUAAGAUUAAUUUCUGCAAGGGGAAUCAAUUUGUAUAGUGGUUCAGGUAAAUCAUUAGGUGCUAUUUAAAGCAAAUAGUCGGGGGAGAUGACAAAUGUAAAAAAUGUAGUCCUCCAGUCAUUAAUUAAUAUUGUGCUCUGUUAGCCAACUCCCAUCAUCUGAGACCUGUUUAGAACCACAGAGCUAUGCAUACGAUUUCCCAAUUUCGGGCCAAAAUAAAUGAGGCGAUAAUUCGCCACCUGAGCAGGUGGCAAACCAACAGCAGCCAGGGUUUUAAUAGCCAGGUUUAUUCUUUCCUCGUAGCAUCGAGUGCUGAGCCGAGGGAUUGUUGUCGUGCGCACUGAGUCGGUCUGUGAGGAAUUGACUGCUCCGGUAAAAGAUGAAACCCAGGAAAUUCUUGUCCAUGAAGCCGCGAUUGAUAUUCUCUAUCCUCAAGGAUGACUAAGAGGAGAGUGAUAGCUUGCUUAUGUUGGGUGCUUUGUUUAAAAGCACGAAUCAACGUCUGUGGUUCUUUUAUUUUUAAUAGAGGUGUGGCUAAAAAGAGGUUUACUGUAAGAUUUUUCGGGGGCAUAUUGAUGGAUUGUUUCGUAGAAAUUAAGGGAAUAAACGAAAAUGACAAAUAAAGCGAUUAAGGUAGGAAAUUACCAAUAAAACACAUUCAAAUCAUUCACAAAUAACAAAAACGCAUUUGUUGACAAGCUAACUCAUAAGUGUAGAAAUAUUGUUCAAUUUGGAUAGCAAUGCACCUAAUGAUUUCAUUGAGCUAAACCCAAAUUAGAAAUGAUGCCCCUCCAGUCCUGAUGUCAAGCUGACCGUAUUGCCCAUGACAGCACCGUAUGUAGGUGACAUAAAGCCAGCACACAUGUGGUAGCACACAUGUGGUAGCACACAUGUGGUAGCACACAUGUGGUAGCACACAUGUGGUAGCACACAUGUGGUAGCACACAUGUGGUAGCACACAUGUGGUAGCACACAUGUGGUAGCACACGUGUCUGAAAUGUGGACGUGAAGAGAUUGAGCCAAUGUGGGACUUCUAUCUCCGAGGCGAGGUGGUGUUUAAAUGGGGCAGUAGCGCAAGUAAAGCUUUAAGGAAGGCCCUCCAGCUUCAUCACACAAGCAACAAUACAUUACAAAAGACCAGACAUCUCAAUAAACAUGCUCAGUACUACUGUGAGUAUAUUAUCCAUUAAUACGAAUUGUCUGCAUCACAGUGGACUUUGAAGAUCCGACGACCUUAUUCGAAAAACAGUCGGCCAUGUGUCUUGGCGUCAUGGUCCAAAAUUACCAAAUUUUAAUAACAUUCUCAAAAUGCAAUAAUUCGAAUUUCCAAUCGCAACAUAGCCCCUCCCCCCUACUGACGGACUAAUGCCCACUUUCAGGCCAGUGCUGUGUCACCUUGUGCUGCACAAGGACAGCUGUCAUCAACAGGCACGGCUCCAGAUCCUCUCGGAUGGCACUACCCAAGCAAGUAUCCCCUCCUUCACUGCUACCGUGGGGGGGCCCACAUCGAAACAUCAACAGACCGAUGCGCACAUUUCAAAUAUGGGAAAUUUAAGACAAACCACAAUGCGAAUGUGUUCCCAUGUAGCUCAAACUUUGGGACCAUAGGGUACACCACUGUAGUACUUCAACAACAAAUUAAAAACUACACGAACUCUCUCUCUCAUGACGCCCGCUCGUGGCUAGCAGACCUCGACGUUGCCAUUUAUCUCCUGAACAUACUGCCAUACGCGUUUACCUCCCUAUCCACAUGGGUUUUUAGUUGGUGAACAAGG